CGAUCUCGGCUCACUGCAAGCUCCGCCUCCCGGAUUCACGCCAUUCUCCUGCCUCAGCCUCCCGAGGAGCUGGGACUACAGGGACCCGCCACCACGCCCGGCUAAUUUUUUUGUAUUUUUAGUAGAGACGGGGUUUCACCGUGUUAGCCAGGAUGGUCUCGAUCUCCUGACCUCCUGAUCCGCCCGCCUCGGCCUCCCAAAGUGCUGGGAUUACAGGCGUGAGCCACCGCGCCCGGCCGGUACUCCGAAGCCCUCAGAUCGGCGACCUGGGCGCUGUAGGCACCGAGAAAAUACAGGCACCGAGCCAGAAGCAGUGCCGCAACCAAGAGACCUCGGCUUGGCGAAAUGGCGGCGUCUGGAGCCUGCGAGUGACGCCAGCUGGUGGGGCUGUCAAGGAGAACAUUCGUUACGGCGCAACCAACGGUACUGUCACCAAGAAACCGUCGUCUCUGAGAAAAAAAGAGACGUUCGGCCGCCGAGAAACUCCGUACAAGUGCUGUGACAGAAAAACCGCCGGCUCCGCGCAGCGGCAAAAGAGCCAACGGGAACGCCGGGUGCUGCGACCAUGACCCCGGCACUGGAGGACGUGGGAUGGAGAAUGGGACACACGGAGCGAGAAGGGAAACGUUUCGUGCAGACCAACUAGCGCCGCCGCCACCGGAAAACUGACUCGCCAGUGCUGCCAAUGAAGUGCGUGUGAGAAACCGAUGACUGGUGGGAGGAGCAGCGCUGGGCGCUGGACCCGCGAGUGUGAGAAUCUGGCGGCGCUAGGACCCUUCAGGCGCGGGCACGAGGCGAAACCCAGCGCUGUUGCCAAAGACAAAUGCGCGUUCUUUUGGGCGCCAUCAGCGGUGCAGCCAGUGAUCACUCCCAGGCUCUGAGAAACUAGAGAUGUCAGCCACAAACCCUCCGUUCAGGGAAAGUUUGCGGCGCCGUGACGGAUCGACUGGCACUGGGUGCAACAUUGUCUUGUGGCCUAGAGACUAGAAUAUAAAAACAAAAACCAAAUACAAAACUGCUGCUGGCAUUACUCCUACUCUCCCCCCUCAAGUCAGUGGCUUCAGGCUUAAGAAAACCUGUAUUUUUCUUGGCUGUGCCAUAAUCCGUAAUUACCGAGGCCCCCAGCGACCCACCCAGUGUGAUUCGCAGAGGGAAAGGAGCUGGAAUAAGGACCGUGAAUGGGGCGGAUGUGGCUCGUCCUGGGAGAGAGCUAAAGCUUAUGCUGGUCGCAAACAGCAUUACAUUGCAGGAAACUGCUCUUCCAAUGGCCGUGGCUGGGUCCUUCCACACCAUCCCUCUGCCCUAGACCUUUGUCCCCGUUCAGAGCCAUCAGAGAUUCUAGGAGAGCUGUCGACAACCGCAUCUCUUCGGAACUUGGAAACUCUAGGUUCAAGAUCUCCGUGGAGAAUGAAAGGCACAGUCGCCUGACCCGGGCAUCAGGCUUGCCCCGCACAUCAAGUCCCUCCCCUACUGGAUGGAACUCUGUGGCAAUCGCUCCUUAUUCUGAUGGUUCACUCUGUCAGAUAUCCUCGAUAUUUGGGGAUAGUAGUUCAAAAACAGCCGGGGAGGAAAAUGGGCUGAAAGAUUCCAGCGUUGGAUGUAGAAUUGACAGCGAGACAUACACCUCCUCUCUAAGCCCAGAGAAAAGCUCAAGUUGUGGUUCUCUGUCUCUAGCAGCAUGAUCUUCAAAAUGCAUCAUUGAUUUCUAUCUUCUGGGAAAUGCAAUGCAGGUGAACUUGAGGAAAUCAGUGGUGCUUCAGGAUAUUGUGAAUUUGGUCUUCUGAAAGCAGAAUUCUGAUUUAACAGUAUAAUGGAAUUCGUGAACGUCAUGAUGCUAAUUUGAACCAACAAGCACCCUUGUGAGAGGAAUCUGCUUUUCCUCAAGUCUGAAGAACACCAGGAGAAUCUUUCUGUAUGGAGUUACCAGGAAUCCUCUGCUAAGGAAAGUGAAAGGGAAGAUGCAAUUUCUCCUGGGAAGGGGGGAUGCUGAUGUAGAGGGUGACAAGUAAUAUGCCAUGAAGGAUUCAGUCACCUGGUUAGAUUUAGAGUUAGAGUUAUGGUUAAGGAAGAAGGAAGGAAAAAAGGCAGAAGAGGAAGAAAGGAAGCAAGAAAAGAUAAAAUUUAUUCUAAGAUAAAAUUUGUGAAUUUUGCUAAACUAUA
This 2160-nucleotide long non-coding RNA is filed under the name Homo sapiens (human). RNAcentral describes it as "non-protein coding lnc-ANXA2R-1:18". The record is from RNAcentral. Lineage: Eukaryota; Metazoa; Chordata; Mammalia; Primates; Hominidae.